Molecule: ribosomal RNA, 1444 nt
Filed under: uncultured bacterium
Lineage: Bacteria
Description: 16S ribosomal RNA
Rfam family: Bacterial small subunit ribosomal RNA
Source: RNAcentral
CGCUGGCGGCAGGCCUAACACAUGCAAGUCGAACGGUAACAGGAAGCAGCUUGCUGCUUCGCUGACGAGUGGCGGACGGGUGAGUAAUGUCUGGGAAGCUGCCUGAUGGAGGGGGAUAACUACUGGAAACGGUAGCUAAUACCGCAUAAUGUCGCAAGACCAAAGAGGGGGACCUUCGGGCCUCUUGCCAUCGGAUGUGCCCAGAUGGGAUUAGCUUGUUGGUGGGGUAACGGCUCACCAAGGCGACGAUCCCUAGCUGGUCUGAGAGGAUGACCAGCCACACUGGAACUGAGACACGGUCCAGACUCCUACGGGAGGCAGCAGUGGGAAUAUUGCACAAUGGGCGCAAGCCUGAUGCAGCCAUGCCGCGUGUAUGAAGAAGGCCUUCGGGUUGUAAAGUACUUUCAGCGGGGAGGAAGGGAGUAAAGUUAAUACCUUUGCUCAUUGACGUUACCCGCAGAAGAAGCACCGGCUAACUCCGUGCCAGCAGCCGCGGUAAUACGGAGGGUGCAAGCGUUAAUCGGAAUUACUGGGCGUAAAGCGCACGCAGGCGGUUUGUUAAGUCAGAUGUGAAAUCCCCGGGCUCAACCUGGGAACUGCAUCUGAUACUGGCAAGCUUGAGUCUCGUAGAGGGGGGUAGAAUUCCAGGUGUAGCGGUGAAAUGCGUAGAGAUCUGGAGGAAUACCGGUGGCGAAGGCGGCCCCCUGGACGAAGACUGACGCUCAGGUGCGAAAGCGUGGGGAGCAAACAGGAUUAGAUACCCUGGUAGUCCACGCCGUAAACGAUGUCGACUUGGAGGUUGUGCCCUUGAGGCGUGGCUUCCGGAGCUAACGCGUUAAGUCGACCGCCUGGGGAGUACGACCGCAAGGUUAAAACUCAAAUGAAUUGGCGGGGGCCCGCACAAGCGGUGGAGCAUGUGGUUUAAUUCGAUGCAACGCGAAGAACCUUACCUGGUCUUGACAUCCACGGAAGUUUUCAGAGAUGAGAAUGUGCCUUCGGGAACCGUGAGACAGGUGCUGCAUGGCUGUCGUCAGCUCGUGUUGUGAAAUGUUGGGUUAAGUCCCGCAACGAGCGCAACCCUUAUCCUUUGUUGCCAGCGGUCCGGCCGGGAACUCAAAGGAGACUGCCAGUGAUAAACUGGAGGAAGGUGGGGAUGACGUCAAGUCAUCAUGGCCCUUACGACCAGGGCUACACACGUGCUACAAUGGCGCAUACAAAGAGAAGCGACCUCGCGAGAGCAAGCGGACCUCAUAAAGUGCGUCGUAGUCCGGAUUGGAGUCUGCAACUCGACUCCAUGAAGUCGGAAUCGCUAGUAAUCGUGGAUCAGAAUGCCACGGUGAAUACGUUCCCGGGCCUUGUACACACCGCCCGUCACACCAUGGGAGUGGGUUGCAAAAGAAGUAGGUAGCUUAACCUUCGGGAGGGCGCUUACCACUUUGUGAUU